AGCGAACGUUUGCGGCGGGCCUAACACAUGCAAGUCGAACGGGCUAGCAAUAGUCAGUGGCGCACGGGUGCGUAACACGUGGGUAAUCAACCCUUCAGCUCGGGAUAACGCCUUGAAAGGGGCGCUAAUACCGGGAUGCGACGCGAGGAGCCUCGGCGCUUCGCGGGAAAGAUUCGCAAGGAUCACUGAAGGACGAGCCUGCGGCCCAUCAGCUAGUUGGUGAGGUAAGAGCUCACCAAGGCGAAGACGGGUAGCUGGUCUGAGAGGAUGAUCAGCCACACUGGAACUGAGACACGGUCCAGACUCCUACGGGAGGCAGCAGUGGGGAAUAUUGCGCAAUGGGCGAAAGCCUGACGCAGCCAGCCGCGUGAGCGAUGAAGG
Molecule: ribosomal RNA, 381 nt
Filed under: uncultured bacterium
Lineage: Bacteria
Description: bacterial SSU rRNA
Rfam family: Bacterial small subunit ribosomal RNA
Source: RNAcentral